Molecule: long non-coding RNA, 221 nt
Filed under: Mytilus galloprovincialis (Mediterranean mussel)
Lineage: Eukaryota; Metazoa; Mollusca; Bivalvia; Mytilida; Mytilidae
Source: RNAcentral
CAAGAAAAAAAUAUCUCACAAACAGGCUUUGAAAAUUUUGGCAAAAUGCAUGCUUCCAAAAUGUCGUAUGUGAACUUGAACAUUUUUGUAAAUAGCAGUGAAAUAAAAACUUUGACAUUUCUGGAUUAUCCCAUAACUUAAAUUAUUUUCACAGAAAUAAAGAAAUGUACAAUUAUUUUUUUCCCAAAGCCAUUCUACAACGAUUUUCAAGUUUUCAUACA